AUGAAAACCAAUGUAUCCCUAUUUUAUCAGGUAAGUUUGAAAUGUUUUAAACAUUAUAGUCGGUACCGUCGUAACCAACAAGCAUUAAUAUGGCUGAUGAAUUCUGCUUCACCAGACAACCCAACCAGGUCUAAAACAUUUCCGUGUUCAAGCACAGUUUCAUCUGGACUCAGCUAUGACAACGAGCUUCCAGGUAAGCAUAUUGUGCCUACUCAUACAUCAAUUGCUUGCAUGUAUCUAUUUUAUUCUCUAAUAUUUGGGAAUGUUCUGAAUGACACCAGAUGUGAAUGUAAUCUUGAAUGA
RNAcentral lists this ribosomal RNA (303 nucleotides) under Triticum aestivum (bread wheat). RNAcentral's name for it is "partial small subunit ribosomal RNA". Lineage: Eukaryota; Viridiplantae; Streptophyta; Magnoliopsida; Poales; Poaceae. The record is from RNAcentral.